AGGAUGAACGCUGGCGGCGUGCCUAACACAUGCAAGUCGAACGUCCUGUCUCGCAAGAGGCAGGGAGUGGCGGACGGGUGAGUACCACGUGGGUGAUCUACCGUGAGGUGAGGAAUACCGGCGAGAAAUCGCCGACAAGACCGCAUAGCCUCGGUGCAAGCCGAGGAAAAGCUCUCUCGAGAGAGGGAGCGCCACACGAGGAGCCUGCGCCCGAUUAGCUAGCUGGUGGAGUAACGGUUCACCAGGGCGACGAUCGGUAGCUGGUCUGAGAGGACGAUCAGCCACACUGGGAUUGAGAACGGCCCAGACUCCUACGGGGAGCAGCAGUGAGGAAUUUCGUCAAUGGGGGCAACCCUGAACGAGCAACGCCGCGUGCAGGAAGAAGGUUUUCGGAUCGUAAACUGCUUUCUCGGGAAGAGAACGGACGGUACCCGAGGAAUCGAGCCCGGCUAACUACGUGCCAGCAGCCGCGGU
Molecule: ribosomal RNA, 474 nt
Filed under: uncultured bacterium
Lineage: Bacteria
Description: SSU rRNA
Rfam family: Bacterial small subunit ribosomal RNA
Source: RNAcentral